RNAcentral lists this transfer RNA (73 nucleotides) under Myotis davidii. It matches the Rfam family "tRNA". Rfam says of the family: Transfer RNA (tRNA) molecules are approximately 80 nucleotides in length. Their secondary structure includes four short double-helical elements and three loops (D, anti-codon, and T loops). Further hydrogen bonds mediate the characteristic L-shaped molecular structure. tRNAs have two regions of fundamental functional importance: the anti-codon, which is responsible for specific mRNA codon recognition, and the 3' end, to which the tRNAs corresponding amino acid is attached (by aminoacyl-tRNA synthetases). tRNAs cope with the degeneracy of the genetic code in two manners: having more than one tRNA (with a specific anti-codon) for a particular amino acid; and 'wobble' base-pairing, i.e. permitting non-standard base-pairing at the 3rd anti-codon position. The record is from Rfam by way of RNAcentral. Lineage: Eukaryota; Metazoa; Chordata; Mammalia; Chiroptera; Vespertilionidae.
GCCGGUUUGGCUCAGUGGAUAGAGCGUUGGCCUGUGGACUCAAGGGUCCCAGGUUCGAUUCCGGGCAGAGGCC